This 440-nucleotide ribosomal RNA is filed under the name uncultured bacterium. Its description in RNAcentral is "partial 16S ribosomal RNA". It matches the Rfam family "Bacterial small subunit ribosomal RNA", at positions 338 to 795 of the family's 1533-position model. The record is from RNAcentral.
CCUACGGGGGACAGCAGUGGGGAAUAUUGCACAAUGGGGGAAACCCUGAUGCAGCGACGCCGCGUGAGUGAAGCAGUAUUUCGGUACGUAAAGCUCUAUCAGCAGGGAAGAAAAUGACGGUCCCUGACUAAGAAGCCCCGGCUAACUACGUGCCAGCAGCCGCGGUAAUACGUAGGGGGCAAGCGUUAUCCGGAUUUACUGGGUGUAAAGGGAGCGUAGACGGCAGCGCAAGUCUGGAGUGAAAUCCCAUGGCUUAACCAUGGAACUGCUUUGGAAACUGUGCAGCUAGAGUGCAGGAGAGGUAAGCGGAAUGCCUAGUGUAGCGGUGAAAUGCGUAGAUAUUAGGAGGAACACCAGUGGCGAAGGCGGCUUACUGGACUGUAACUGACGUUGAGGCUCGAAAGCGUGGGGAGCAAACAGGAUUAGAUACCCGAGUAGUC